CCUACGGGAGGCAGCAGUGGGGAAUAUUGGACAAUGGGCGAAAGCCUGAUCCAGCCAUGCCGCGUGUGUGAAGAAGGCCUUCGGGUUGUAAAGCACUUUCAGUGGGGAAGAAAGCCUUGGGGCUAAUACCCUCGAGGAAGGACAUCACCCACAGAAGAAGCACCGGCCAACUCCGUGCCAGCAGCCGCGGUAAUACGGAGGGUGCGAGCGUUAAUCGGAAUUACUGGGCGUAAAGCGCGCGUAGGCGGUCUGAUAAGCCGGUUGUGAAAGCCCCGGGCUCAACCUGGGAACGGCAUCCGGAACUGUCAGGCUAGAGUGCAGGAGAGGAAGGUAGAAUUCCCGGUGUAGCGGUGAAAUGCUUAGAGAUCGGGAGGAAUACCAGUGGCGAAGGCGGCCUUCUGGACUGACACUGACGCUGAGGUGCGAAAGCGUGGGUAGCAAACAGGAUUAGAUACCCUGGUAGUC
RNAcentral lists this ribosomal RNA (465 nucleotides) under Vreelandella stevensii. RNAcentral's name for it is "partial 16S ribosomal RNA". It matches the Rfam family "Bacterial small subunit ribosomal RNA", at positions 338 to 795 of the family's 1533-position model. Lineage: Bacteria; Pseudomonadati; Pseudomonadota; Gammaproteobacteria; Oceanospirillales; Halomonadaceae. The record is from RNAcentral.